AAUUUUGGACAAUGGGGGAAACCCUGAUCCAGCCAUCCCGCGUGUAUGAUGAAGGCCUUCGGGUUGUAAAGUACUUUUGGCAGAGAAGAAAAGGUAUCUCCUAAUACGAGAUACUGCUGACGGUAUCUGCAGAAUAAGCACCGGCUAACUACGUGCCAGCAGCCGCGGUAAUACGUAGGGUGCAAGCGUUAAUCGGAAUUACUGGGCGUAAAGCUUGUGUAGGCGUUUCGGAAAGAAGGAUGGGAAAUCCAAGGCCUCAACCUUGGAACGGCAUUUUAAACUGCCGGGCUAGAGUAUGUCAGAGGGGGGUAGAAUUCCACGUUUAGAAGUGAAAUGCGUGGAUAUUGGGAGGAAUACCGAUGGGGAAGGCAGCCCCCUGGGUUAAUCUUGCGCCCCGGACCCGAAGCGUGGGGAGCAAACA
Molecule: ribosomal RNA, 421 nt
Filed under: uncultured bacterium
Lineage: Bacteria
Description: partial 16S ribosomal RNA
Rfam family: Bacterial small subunit ribosomal RNA
Source: RNAcentral